AACUCAAAUCAUGUAAGAUUUUUAAUGGUCGAACAGACCAACCUUUGGUAACUGCUGCAUUACCGGGGUAACUUAAUUCAACAUCGAGGUGUCAAACUUUAUCUUCGAUACCGUCUCUAAGGAUAAAAUUAACCUGUUAUCCCUAAAGUAGCUUUUAUUUAAUUGUUGUCAUCGAUUGUUUUAAACUAAUGACAGGUCAUUAAUCCCCACUUUGUGAUUGUUAAAUUUAUUAAUUAAACAAUAAAUAAUUUCGUAUUUAAUCGUAACAGUAUAUGUUUUGGUUGCUAUUCUUUCUUUCUAAAAUGCCGUUGCCCCAACGAAACUAACCCCCUAAUUAAUAUUUUAAUUAAAAUAAGUUUUUAUUUUUAUUAAGGUAAAAAGGUUAUAGUUAAGCUUUAUAGGGUCUUCUCGUCUUACAGUUCUAAACAGCAUCUUCACUGUUAUUUAAAUUUUAAAGGGUUUAUAUUCAAGACAGUGGAAACCUCGUGAAGCCAUUCACCUACGUUCGUCAAUUAAACAACUAUUUAUUUUCCUACAUUAUCACCGUCAAGAUACAGCGGCCGUUAAACUUAAUUUUAAGAUUGUUAGUCUCAAUAGAUAAGUCACCGGGCAGGCAACGCCCUAAAUAGUUUAUUAGGGUUAUGUUUUUGGUAAACAGUCG
This 661-nucleotide ribosomal RNA is filed under the name Halopteris alternata. RNAcentral describes it as "partial 16S ribosomal RNA". The record is from RNAcentral. Lineage: Eukaryota; Metazoa; Cnidaria; Hydrozoa; Leptothecata; Halopterididae.